UACGUAGGGCGCAAGCGUUAUCCGGAAUUAUUGGGCGUAAAGGGCUCGUAGGCGGUUCGUCACGUCGGGAGUGAAAACUCGGGGCUUAACCCCGAGCCUGCUUCCGAUACGGGCAGACUAGAGUGCGGUAGGGGAGAUUGGAAUUCCUGGUGUAGCGGUGGAAUGCGCAGAUAUCAGGAGGAACACCGAUGGCGAAGGCAGAUCUCUGGGCCGUAACUGACGCUGAGGAGCGAAAGCAUGGGGAGCGAACAGG
Molecule: ribosomal RNA, 253 nt
Filed under: uncultured bacterium
Lineage: Bacteria
Description: partial 16S ribosomal RNA
Rfam family: Bacterial small subunit ribosomal RNA
Source: RNAcentral